UGUAGGCGCCUCAGGAACUGGCC
This 23-nucleotide non-coding RNA is filed under the name Mus musculus (house mouse). Lineage: Eukaryota; Metazoa; Chordata; Mammalia; Rodentia; Muridae. The record is from RNAcentral.